UUCUUCCAAGUUCCAACACUCAUCAUCUUCAACAUAAAAUUUCAGAAAACAAAAAAUCAAUCUCCUCUCAAACCCAGUCACCAUCAAACAACACCUUACACAAAGAAAUCGAUCUCCAUCAUCCCCAUGACCUCAAUCAUCUUCAUCAUCUUCAUCCCCACCAAAUCCAUCUUCAUCCCCACCAUCCCUUAAAUAACACAAAAUCUCCUUUCUUUCUUAAACACCAAAGCACCACAACCCCAAAUCCUUUCCAUUUCUCCUUUCACUCAAAGAAAUCGAACUACCACCACCUAGAUCUGAAGCAAUUCCUUCUUCGAAACCACUUCCUUAUUUCCCUAAAGCCAUUCGCCAUCACUUCCUCCUCUUCUUCGAAAUUAAGAUCUAGCAGCACCACCACCACCUAGAUCUCGCAGCGCCUCCGUCACGUGGAUCUCCACUCCGCAAAGCACUGCGCCAUCACCACUUCCGUUGAGCCCAUAGAAUCAUCGUCGCCUAUCUCCUUCUCUCCCUGAAGCUCUUCACUCACCGACUUGCCGUUGUCGCGUUGCUUAACUACUUAUGUGCCUUCUUCAUCUCUACUUCAGUUAGAGGAAGAAUAAAGCCAAAGAAAAAUAGAGGCAAAGAAAGAGAGUGGGAUCGAGGGAGGAAGAGAGAUGGAGAUGGAGGACCCGAAGGGAGGAAAAGACGAUGAUGGUGGUGGUGCUUCGGUGACAACGAGGAGCGGCGGGGUGGUCUAUGGCAGGUUCAGAUUUGGGUUUAACAGAGGUGGUUCGAAAUUCUGGGUCAAAUUCCCACCUCUGAACAAGAUUAUUUUUGAAUUUUUGGUGGGUGACGGAAAAUGAGUAUGCAAAUUUUAUUACUGGAAUUUUUUGUUGCUUAAUUUAAUAUGGGUUUGUUGUUGGGAAGAUUGUGAAUUUGGGUUUGAAUUUGUGAGAAGAUGAAGUGAGUAUUCUAGGAAAAAGUGGUGGAAGCGACGCACUGAUCUGGGUUGGCUUUGCAGAUCUGAAGGUGGUUUCGAGGUUACUGUUCAUGAUGGAUUGGGAGUGGAGAAUAUGGGUCAGGGAAUGACUUUGUUUUACAUACAUAAUUAUUAAAAAGUGUGAGGGCAUAUUUGGAUUCAAUGGCAGAUGGAGAUGCUUGAUUUUCAAAUAUAUUUCAUCAGUAUUAAGGUGGUUGGAAAUCAUUAUUUGGUAGAUCAAAGCAACAUGUUUUAAAUUUUCGGCUUAAAAGCAUUUCAUGCCCCUGAUA
Lotus japonicus is the source of this 1248-nucleotide long non-coding RNA. RefSeq lists it as uncharacterized. The record is from RefSeq and is a predicted model, not a curated record. Lineage: Eukaryota; Viridiplantae; Streptophyta; Magnoliopsida; Fabales; Fabaceae. The transcript is spliced from 2 exons.